Molecule: ribosomal RNA, 614 nt
Filed under: uncultured bacterium
Lineage: Bacteria
Description: bacterial SSU rRNA
Rfam family: Bacterial small subunit ribosomal RNA
Source: RNAcentral
GAUGAACGCUAGCGGCAGGCUAAUACAUGCAAGUCGAGGGGUAACAGGUGUAGCAAUACAUGCUGACGACCGGCGCACGGGUGCGUAACACGUAUGCAACCUACCCUUAACUGGAGGAUAGCCCGAAGAAAUUCGGAUUAAUACUCCAUAGUAUAGUGAAGAGGCAUCUCUUUAUUAUUAAAACUACGGUGGUUAAGGAUGGGCAUGCGUUGCAUUAGCUAGUUGGUGAGGUAAUGGCUCACCAAGGCUACGAUGCAUAGGGGAUCUGAGAGGAUUAUCCCCCACACUGGUACUGAGACACGGACCAGACUCCUACGGGAGGCAGCAGUAAGGAAUAUUGGACAAUGGUGGAAACACUGAUCCAGCCAUGCCGCGUGAAGGAUGAAGGCGCUAUGCGUCGUAAACUUCUUUUGAACGGGAGAAACCCCAGAUACGUGUAUCUGGCUGAUAGUACCGUUAGAAUAAGGGUCGGCUAACUUCGUGCCAGCAGCCGCGGUAAUACGAAGGACCCGAGCGUUAUCCGGAUUCAUUGGGUUUAAAGGGUGCGUAGGCGGAAUGAUAAGUCAGUGGUGAAAUCCUGCAGCUCAACUGCAGAACUGCCAUUGAUACUGUCG